RNAcentral lists this unclassified non-coding RNA (343 nucleotides) under soil metagenome. RNAcentral's name for it is "partial contains 5.8S ribosomal RNA, internal transcribed spacer 2, and large subunit ribosomal RNA". The stretch from base 1 to 120 matches the Rfam family "5.8S ribosomal RNA", at positions 35 to 154 of the family's 154-position model. The record is from RNAcentral.
GAUGAAGAACGCAGUGAAAUGCGAUACGUAAUGUGAAUUGCAGAAUUCAGUGAAUCAUCGAAUCUUUGAACGCACAUUGCGCCCGCCAGCAUUCUGGCGGGCAUGCCUGUUCGAGCGUCAUUUCAACCCUCGAGCCCCCCCGGGGGCCUCGGUGUUGGGGGACGGCACACCAGCCGCCCCCGAAAUGCAGUGGCGACCCCGCCGCAGCCUCCCCUGCGUAGUAGCACACACCUCGCACCGGAGCGCGGAGGCGGUCACGCCGUAAAACGCCCAACUUUCUUAGAGUUGACCUCGGAUCAGGUAGGAAUACCCGCUGAACUUAAGCAUAUCAAUAAGCGGAGGA